UACGGGGGGUGCGAGCGUUGUCCGGAAUCACUGGGCGUAAAGGGCGCGUAGGUGGUUUGAUAAGGGUGUGGUGAAAGUCCGGAGCUCAACUCCGGAUCUGCCGUGCCGACUGUCAAACUCGAGGGCUGUAGAGGCAGACGGAAUUCCGGGUGUAGCGGUGGAAUGCGUAGAGAUCCGGAGGAAGACCGGUGGCGAAGGCGGCCUUCUGGUCCAGUACUGACACUCAAGUGCGAAAGCGUGGGGAGCAAACAGGAUUAGAGUA
Molecule: ribosomal RNA, 262 nt
Filed under: uncultured bacterium
Lineage: Bacteria
Description: partial 16S ribosomal RNA
Rfam family: Bacterial small subunit ribosomal RNA
Source: RNAcentral